RNAcentral lists this long non-coding RNA (423 nucleotides) under Bos taurus (domestic cattle). Its description in RNAcentral is "long non-coding RNA NONBTAT001572". The record is from RNAcentral. Lineage: Eukaryota; Metazoa; Chordata; Mammalia; Artiodactyla; Bovidae.
GAACAAUCUCCAUCUUCUACACACACACACACACGAAGAGAUCACAUAUAACCUUUGAUGUUAAUUUUUAUUACACUUCAAAACGUGCAAAAGAGAAUAGACAAAAAUACAUUAGUUUGGGCGCCAUUUUUCCAGGAGCAGUUUCAACGCCAACCACGGUUUGCUGUUUUAUUACACAGCUUCUGUUUGCACUUUGAACUACGUGCUUGAGGCCGCUUACUCCACACCAUCUGCAAGCUGCAUCUGUGCAGCCCCAUCCACCUCGCUAACAGUCACAGCUGAACUUGACAUUAACCCACUUUGAAAGUAUGCAAUCUGUAAACUCUGAAACUUAUUAUUAUUGACUGACUCCACCGUUCAGAAAAAUCAGGAUGGCUAUGACUCCCGAAGUCCAAGAGGAAAGGAACAGUUACCAAACAAUUU